This 103-nucleotide transfer RNA is filed under the name Flavobacteriaceae bacterium. Its description in RNAcentral is "tRNA-OTHER". It matches the Rfam family "tRNA". Rfam says of the family: Transfer RNA (tRNA) molecules are approximately 80 nucleotides in length. The record is from RNAcentral. Lineage: Bacteria; Pseudomonadati; Bacteroidota; Flavobacteriia; Flavobacteriales; Flavobacteriaceae.
GUCGGCGUAGCUUAAUCGGUUAAAGCAGAGAAGUCCAUUCUUGCGGUAGCUCCGCUUACGGUUCUAGUCCGUACUGAUUUAGGUUCGAGUCCUAACGCCGGCU